RNAcentral lists this ribosomal RNA (276 nucleotides) under Triticum aestivum (bread wheat). RNAcentral describes it as "partial small subunit ribosomal RNA". Lineage: Eukaryota; Viridiplantae; Streptophyta; Magnoliopsida; Poales; Poaceae. The record is from RNAcentral.
AUGUCGUUUGUGCAUAAGAGUGUGAUUCUUACCAAGAAAAAUUUGGCAAAGCGCAGGUGGAAAGGUAGUAAACGUUGUUGUUUCUUUGACCAUGAGGAAACAAUUCGACACUUAUUCCUUAAUUCCCAACUUGCCAAGCUCAUGCGGCCAACAAUACACGAGUCCUUUAACAUACCUCCACCUAAUAGUAUAUCAAAUUUAUUUGGUAAUUGGUUAGGAAGGGUGGAGUGCAUUACUUUGGGCUAUUUAGAACUGUCUGAACGAUUGUGUAUUUAA